ACCAAGAUGAGGCUAGUCCAGACGUUGGU
RNAcentral lists this small RNA (29 nucleotides) under Bombyx mori (domestic silkworm). Its description in RNAcentral is "ovarian small RNA-11203". The record is from RNAcentral. Lineage: Eukaryota; Metazoa; Arthropoda; Insecta; Lepidoptera; Bombycidae.